Molecule: ribosomal RNA, 253 nt
Filed under: uncultured bacterium
Lineage: Bacteria
Description: partial 16S ribosomal RNA
Rfam family: Bacterial small subunit ribosomal RNA
Source: RNAcentral
UACGUAGGGUGCAAGCGUUGUCCGGAAUUAUUGGGCGUAAAGAGCUCGUAGGCGGUCUGUCGCGUCGGAAGUGAAAACCCGGGGCUCAACCCCGGGCCUGCUUUCGAUACGGGCAGACUAGAGUUCGGCAGGGGAGACUGGAAUUCCUGGUGUAGCGGUGAAAUGCGCAGAUAUCAGGAGGAACACCGGUGGCGAAGGCGGGUCUCUGGGCCGAUACUGACGCUGAGGAGCGAAAGCGUGGGGAGCGAACAGG